RNAcentral lists this ribosomal RNA (786 nucleotides) under uncultured Rhodobacterales bacterium. RNAcentral's name for it is "partial 16S ribosomal RNA". Lineage: Bacteria; Pseudomonadati; Pseudomonadota; Alphaproteobacteria; Rhodobacterales. The record is from RNAcentral.
UUAGAACAGCACGUGGGGUUUUGCCGAGAACGGGUCUCGCAGCACCCGCAGGUCCGGGCGCUCGGCCACGGUGUAGCCUUUCGAGAAGUCACCAAACGCAAUCGCGGUCGCAUCCGUCGCAAUGUCAGGCAUGUCUUCGGCGAUCACGACAGGAUAGCCCAGCAAUCGCGCCGGCUCACCAGCAGCCAGACCAUCCGACCACAGGAAACGGCCAUCGGCAUCCUUCAGCUUGCGCACGGCUCCGGCGGUCUUCGAGUUCAUCACGAAGGAACCAUUGGCGCGGUACUGGGCGCCCAGGGCAUAAACCAGGUCGAUCAGCGCGUCACCAUCGUCGAAGCCACCAUCCACACCGGUCGCGACAUAGCCAAGAUUGCCCCAGGACCAGCUCGCAUUGGCGACGAUCGGGUGGGUCAGCAUACCGGUCGGCUUGUCGACACCAUCACCGUUGACAAACGCCGCCGCCUCGGCAUGGGCAAACUUGUCGGCAAUCCGGCCCGCCAGCCAGCCUUCAACAUCAAAUGCGCUGUCAUCCAGCAGCCGCUGAGAAGCCUUCGGCAUCGCCGACAACUCGUGCAGCGGGAUCGAGAUGCGAUCCACCGAAGGCGUGCCAGUCUCCGCCGUAGCGGUGGUCUCAUCGGCCCAACCGGCCCCCAGCUCGGUAUGGUCGAUCAUCACGUCAUAGGCGCUCGCCUCGACAUUCACCACGUUGGCAAUCGCCCGGAUCGACGCGGUCGAUUUCAAUACCGAGUUGAUCGCCUCGGCGGUCUGCGGAUCGACCAGAUAGCC